GAACUGGAUGUUGGCAGAAAUGACGCCAGAGGAGGGGACGUAGAUUGGAAGAACAGGAAUAAGGUUUGAGGGAGUAGAAGUCAUACAGUGGGGAAAGAGUAGGUUGAGUAUGAAUGAGGAAAAGGGAGAGGAGACUGUGAUCAGAGAAUGGAUUUUAUAGAUGAGGAAACACACAGAGAGACUGUUGAUAAAGAUUUAUAUAUAUAUUUUUAACAUUUGUCUUAAAUUUUUUUUUGAGUUCCAAAUUCUUUCCCUCCCCUUAGUCUCUCCUCUCCCCAUUGAGAAGGCAAGCAAUAUGUUGUCCAUUAUACAUGUGAAGGGCAGACCAGGGAGGAUAUCCUUCCACCUUCCUUCAGGGUUGACCCAGCAACUCGCAUUGGCUGAAACUGGUUCUGAAGAAUGA
RNAcentral lists this long non-coding RNA (403 nucleotides) under Monodelphis domestica (gray short-tailed opossum). RNAcentral's name for it is "lncRNA (ENSMODG00000034869.2)". The record is from RNAcentral. Lineage: Eukaryota; Metazoa; Chordata; Mammalia; Didelphimorphia; Didelphidae.